Molecule: ribosomal RNA, 555 nt
Filed under: Hastula albula
Lineage: Eukaryota; Metazoa; Mollusca; Gastropoda; Neogastropoda; Terebridae
Description: partial 12S ribosomal RNA
Source: RNAcentral
AACCAAGAAAUUGAGUCAUUUAGUUAUGGUUAAAAGGCAGUUAGGUUGUAAGUUUUAGUUGUCGGUUGUUUGAUGUUAUAUAUAAAGGUAAAAUUUAGAUAUAGUUGCAUAAGUUGUUAACAACCUUUUUGGCUGAAUCUGCGAAGUUCUUGAGGGAAACUGGGAUUAGGUACCCCAUUAUUCUUGAGAGUAAAUUGCAUUUGCUACCAGAGUACUAUGAAUGAAUAAAAAUUUAAAACUCAAAGGACUUGGCGGUGUCUUAGACCAUUUAGGGGAACCUGUCUCGUAAUCGACAGUCCACGUUACACCUGACCUUUCUUUGUAAAGCAGUUUGUAUACCGUUGUCGUCAGGUAACUUUUUAGAAAAAUGAAGUUAGCAAUAUAAAUAAAUUAUUUGGGACGUCAAAUCAAGGUGCAGCUAAUGGAAAGGAGAGGAUGGGUUACAAUUAUUUAAUUUAUAAUUUUACGGAUAUAGUUAUAGAAAAAUUCUAUGUAAGGAGGACUUAAAAGUAAAUUGAUAUAUAAAAACAAUUUGAAUGAGGCUCUGAGACGUGU